UGGCCCUGGUGAAGAGGGUGUGGGACAGAAGGCAGUGCUCCUCCCUGCAGCCAGGGGAUGCUAUAGUCAAGAUCAACGGCGCCGACGUGCAGAGUCUCAGCUUCGCUCAGGUCCAGCGGGUCCUCCAGAAACACACCAAGCAGGGAGAAGUAGUGCUGUUGGUUUACAGAGGAGGGUCCCUCUUUUCUCCUGUCUCCCCUAACCUCUACAAGCCC
This is a non-coding RNA of Salvelinus sp. IW2-2015, 215 nucleotides long. The record is from RefSeq and is a predicted model, not a curated record. Lineage: Eukaryota; Metazoa; Chordata; Actinopteri; Salmoniformes; Salmonidae.